UGACCAGACUCCUACGGGAGGCAGCAGUGGGGAAUAUUGCACAAUGGGGGAAACCCUGAUGCAGCAACGCCGCGUGAGUGAAGAAGUCAUUCGUGAUGUAAAGCUCUAUCAGCAGGGAAGAAAAUGACGGUACCUGACUAAGAAGCCCCGGCUAACUACGUGCCAGCAGCCGCGGUAAUACGUAGGGGGCAAGCGUUAUCCGGAUUUACUGGGUGUAAAGGGAGCGUAGACGGCGACGCAAGUCUGAAGUGAAAUGCCAGUGCUCAACACUGGAACUGCUUUGGAAACUGUGUGGCUAGAGUGCAGGAGAGGUAAGUGGAAUUCCUAGUGUAGCGGUGAAAUGCGUAGAUAUCACGCAGAACUCCGAUCGCGAAGGCAGCCUACCGGCGCGCAACUGACGCUCAUGCACGAAAGCGUGGGUAUCGAACAGGAUUAGAUACCCUUGUA
RNAcentral lists this ribosomal RNA (447 nucleotides) under uncultured bacterium. RNAcentral's name for it is "bacterial SSU rRNA". It matches the Rfam family "Bacterial small subunit ribosomal RNA", at positions 328 to 792 of the family's 1533-position model. The record is from RNAcentral.